AUAUCAGUAAGCGGAGGAAAAGAAACUAACCAGGAUUCCCCUAGUAACGGCGAGUGAAGCGGGAAGAGCUCAAAUUUAAAAUCUGGGAGCUUUAGGUGGCUCCCCGAAUUGUAGUUUGAAGUGGCGUGUUCUGUGGUGGCAGCCUGGCGGGUCCAAGUCCCUUGGAACAGGGCGUCAGAGAGGGUGACAACCCCGUGUCGUGGCCCGCUCCGCUUAUUAGCCGCCGCAAAUAUGACGCGUCUACGAAGAGUCGGGUUGCUUGGGAAUGCAGCCCAAAGUGGGUGGUAAACCUCAUCUAAGGCUAAAUAACGGCGAGAGACCGAUAGCGAACAAGUACCGUGAGGGAAAGAUGAAAAGAACUUUGAAAAGAGAGUUAAACAGUACGUGAAAUUGUUAAAAGGGAAACGCUUGAAAGCCAGUGACCGAAAGGAUACUGCGGCCGGGGAAUCAGCUGGUGGGGCGGGGCAGCCCGUCUCGCCGGUGCACUUCCCCGGCAUUGCGAGGCCAACGUCAGCCUUUUUCAAGCCGGCUGGAAACGGGGGCCCGGGAAGGUGGGUCUUAUUGAGGCACUUGUGCCUUGUUUGACUGUUAUAGCCCGGGUCUCACAAACACAGGCCGGGAAGGCUGAGGAAAAAAUUACGCGGCCGCCUCUUUUUUGGGGGCCCUUGCCCCUGGUUGGU
RNAcentral lists this ribosomal RNA (680 nucleotides) under uncultured fungus. RNAcentral describes it as "eukaryotic LSU rRNA". It matches the Rfam family "Eukaryotic large subunit ribosomal RNA", at positions 40 to 634 of the family's 3401-position model. The record is from RNAcentral. Lineage: Eukaryota; Fungi.